AUGUUUGGGUGAUGACAACAGAUGAUACACAAAUGCCAACUAGCUAGAAUUGGACUAAACAAAUUAAUGUCAAACCUCCUGAUGGAUGGAUCUGUGGACAUCCCUAUGGAGUAUGGAGCUUGGGAUAAUCAGUUUGUGUUUUUUUUUUUCAAAGGUCAACCCGCUUCUUAUUUUAUAUAAAACAAUGUCAUUCUAAAAAUAAAUAUUUAUAUCUUAUAUUUAAUUAGAGACUUGCGUUGGCUGACAAAAGUUUCUGGAUCCGCCACUAGCACCAACCACUUAAACCUUAACCCAAAGAUUUACCAAGCCGAGAAAAUCAUCCUCCAACCUCCCAAGGUUACCGGGACACUCUAAACCACCUAUUGUAACAAAUAAACAUUGAUUCAAUAGUUGGAACUCAUAUAAAUAGAAAAUCAAAGAUGUUUGUAACUCUCUAAACCUAAUUAAACAUGUUCAAUCGAUCACCCAUGCUACAAAUUACAUAUCAAAUUGUUCGUAUUGACGAGCACUGAUAAUGGAACAAACUUUUUCUCUAAGAGAGGCCGGGCUUGCUACUACACACCGCCACAAGCGGCUGCAUGUGGGCCUCAUGCGCCGCCUCCAAAAACUUCGAAUUGUUACACCAAACAUGAAGAUCAAGGCAAAAUAAGCAACUUUUAUACUUCUAACUCGAUUUGACUCCGCAAAAAUUGGUAAGAAAUGUUGUCAGAUCAGAACCUAUCACAACAACUCUACACUUCAAAUUGAUUCAAGACUUGUAGAGCUAAAAAAUGAGGUGGAGAGCAACAAAACACAGUUAGGUUUGAACCUUGGAGUCGCCGAAAUCAACUAGAGCUACACUAACAGCAAAGGCAGCCACUUUCGGCCUUGUUGUGCCUCAUACGACGGUUAUUGGGGUUGAAGACCAUUACAAAAAUGUAGAGAGAGAAAUAGAGAGAUGAAGAUUUUGAUAUAUGCCACGAGGCCUAUUGUCGCCGGACUACGGAGAACGAUGCCGAAGAAGAAAUGGGUCGAGUGUGGCGACAGAAAAGAGGAGAGAGAAAGUCUCUUAACAUUUAGGGAGAUUAGGGUUUUCUGAUCCAUCUUUCUAUUUAUACCCCUUACAAAAUUGAAAAAUAACUUCUUAUGACUGUAACUUCUCAAUAAGGUAUUUGUUUUACGCGUGCCGUGUGUCUACGAAUUUUGCAUCGCCGAGAUCUACAAGUUUGGUGAAGAAAGUUUUCUGAAAUACUUAACGAAUAAAAAAAAUCAACUUUUGGGUGCACAUGAAAAUGAAAUGCUUUUGAUAAUUUAAACUUCUGAAUACUUCUACUUCAGAGUCUGAAACAAACAUUCCCACAAAUCAAACUUAUAUUAAUUCCGAGAAUAAAAUUACGCUACUAGAAUAAAGGACUUAGGUGACAAACAAGUUUCGUCGCCUAAGUGCUCAUUUUCGUCGCUUAAGUUCUCACGCGACGAAAGCUUCGUCGCUUAAUAGUCGUGGCCAGAGCAUGAAGGCGUAAGAACUUAGGCAACGAAUAAAAAAGAAAUGGUCGCCUAAAUGGAAACUUAGGCGACUAUUUAUUCAUCAUUGCAUAAGUCUAAGGUGAGGAAGACAAAUACAUUCAGGUGUCAAAAAAUUAUUAAAAAUCUAAUUAUUACUGAUAUAUACACACAGACCCGUACCUGAAUAGACACUACCAGAACAAGCACUUUAGCCGACGAAAAAUUUUCGUCGGCCUGUUAGCAUAAUUCGUCGGCUAAGAUUUCGUCGGGAAAAGGUCGUCUGUGAUGACUUUAGCCGACGAAAAAAAAAAUUUCGUCGGCUAUAGUCCCGCAGUUUAGCCGACGAAAAACAUGUCGUCGGUUUUUUUCCCAGACUUUAGCCGACGAAACAAUUAAGAUAUUCGUCGGCUAAAGUCUGUAAUAAAAAAAUUUUUUCCAGACUAUAGUCGACGAAAUAUAGUAUGUUUCAUCGGCUAAACCUUAUAAAAAAAUUUAAAAAAAUAACUAUAGCCGACGAAAUAUAGUCUGUUUCGUCGGCUAAAC
This 2028-nucleotide long non-coding RNA is filed under the name Fragaria vesca (wild strawberry). RNAcentral describes it as "long non-coding RNA (FVES_LNC002698)". Lineage: Eukaryota; Viridiplantae; Streptophyta; Magnoliopsida; Rosales; Rosaceae. The record is from RNAcentral.